RNAcentral lists this ribosomal RNA (496 nucleotides) under uncultured Proteiniphilum sp. Its description in RNAcentral is "bacterial SSU rRNA". It matches the Rfam family "Bacterial small subunit ribosomal RNA", at positions 889 to 1382 of the family's 1533-position model. The record is from RNAcentral. Lineage: Bacteria; Pseudomonadati; Bacteroidota; Bacteroidia; Bacteroidales; Dysgonomonadaceae.
CCGCUCAGAAACUUAAAGGAAGUUGACGGGGGCCCGGCACAAGACGGAGGAACAUGUGGUUUAAUUCGUAUGAUACGCGAGGAACCUUACCCGGGCCUUGAAAUGCAUCUGACCGGCCUUGAAGAGGCACUCCCUUCGGGCAGAUGUGUAGGUGCUGCAUGGUUGUCGUCAGCUCGUGCCGUGAGGUGUCGGCUUAAGUGCCAUAACGAGCGCAACCCUCAUCAUUAGUUACCAUCAGGUAAGGCUGGGGACUCUAAUGAGACUGCCAUCGUAAGAUGUGAGGAAGGUGGGGAUGACGUCAAAUCAGCACGGCCCUUACGUCCGGGGCGACACACGUGUUACAAUGGGUGGUACAAAGGGCAGCUACCUGGCGACAGGAUGCUAAUCUCGAAAACCGCUCUCAGUUCGGAUCGGAGUCUGCAACUCGACUCCGUGAAGCUGGAUUCGCUAGUAAUCGCGCAUCAGCCACGGCGCGGUGAAUACGUUCCCGGGCCUU